RNAcentral lists this ribosomal RNA (402 nucleotides) under uncultured bacterium. Its description in RNAcentral is "bacterial SSU rRNA". It matches the Rfam family "Bacterial small subunit ribosomal RNA", at positions 355 to 775 of the family's 1533-position model. The record is from RNAcentral.
UGAGGAAUUUUCCGCAAUGGGCGAAAGCCUGACGGAGCGACGUCGUGUGUGGGAUGAAGUCUUUCGAGAUGUAAACCACUGUCAGAGGGGAAGAUAUUGACGGUACCCUCAGAGGAAGCCCCGGCUAACUACGUGCCAGCAGCCGCGGUAAUACGUAGGGGGCGAGCGUUGUCCGGAAUCAUUGGGCGUAAAGGGCGUGUAGGCUGUCUUGCAAGUCAGAUGUUAAAUCUAUCGGCUCAACCGGUAACCGCAUCUGAAACUGCAAAACUAGAGAAUGGUAGAGGUAAACGGAAUUUCCGGUGUAGCGGUGAAAUGCGUAGAUAUCGGAAAGAACACCAGUGGCGAAGGCGGUUUACUGGGCCAUUUCUGACGCUGAGACGCGAAAGCUAGGGGAGCAAACGG